GGUUGUAUUUUAUUAGUAUGUGAAAUUGGAGGUUCCGGGAGAAAAAAGAGCUGGAAACGAGCUUAAUCGGUGAAUAAAAGGAAAUCCGGGAGCCAUGGGAGAAGUCUAAGGGCUAAAAGUCAAAAAUCAAGAAAAUAAGCCUUGUCGCGUCGCGCGACGAGCUUGAAAUGCACUGAAACGUGUUUUGGGCUUCGGGGUUGUUAUGAUAUAACCUAAAAAUGAAUUCAUAAAAUAAUAAUCUGCGUUGGGAUGAACUUAGAAGCUCCAUGAGGCGAAUUUAGAGCACAAGAAGCAUAAGGUUGAAGAUUUGAAGCAAAGGAUCGAGAUUGCUCGGGUUCUAUUAUUCGAUUUCCUUGUUUCUUCAUUUCUUUAAUUCAAACCAUGUUUAUCGAAUUUGUCUUGCAAGUUGUUUCUGUUUGGGCGAUGAUUAUCGGCUAAAUACUUUGUUACUACCUAGGUUUAACGAUGAAUAUUUGUUGAGAACUGAUUUUCUUUCGGUUUUUUGUAACAAAGUUGAUGGAUUAAUACUUUAGUAAUGUGUCUUGUUCAUGAAGUCAGAUGUUAUGCAUGCUUAUUACUGAUUUAAACUCUUCAUAGUUCUACAUGCAUUUUUGUGAUGGUAUGUCAUGUAUGAAUGCUUGUUACGUCACCCACUGUGUGUUUGCAAUUAGUUUACGGUUAAUUGCCGGAAAUUUCCGUAGGAACUAUGAUUGAGGUUUUAGAGGUUUUAAGUGUUUUGCCUAGUCCAAUAGUUGUGAGCUUUUAG
Molecule: long non-coding RNA, 766 nt
Filed under: Helianthus annuus (common sunflower)
Lineage: Eukaryota; Viridiplantae; Streptophyta; Magnoliopsida; Asterales; Asteraceae
Description: hypothetical non coding rna
Source: RNAcentral